CCUACGGGAGGCAGCAGUGAGGAAUAUUGGUCAAUGGGCGCGAGCCUGAACCAGCCAUGUAGCGUGAAUGAUGACUGCCCUCCGGGUUGUAAACUUCUUUUAUCAAGGAAUAAAGUGAGUCACUUGUACCUUUUUGUAUGUACUUUAUGAAUAAGAAUCGGCUAACUCCGUGCCAGCAUCCGCGGUAAUACGGAGGAUCCGAGCGUUAUCCGGAUUUAUUGGGUUUAAAGGGAGCGUAGGUGGGUGGUUAAGUCAGUUGUGAAAGUGUGGGGCUCAACCUGAAAAUUGCAAUUGAUACUGGUAGGCUUGAGUAUAGUUGAGGUAGGUGGAAUUCGUGGUGUAGCGGUGAAAUGCGUAGAGAUCACGAAGAACUCCGAUUGCGAAGGCAGCCUACUAAACUGCCACUGACACUGAUGUUCGAAAGUGUGGGUAUCAAACAGGAUUAGAUACCCCUGUAGUC
This 460-nucleotide ribosomal RNA is filed under the name uncultured bacterium. RNAcentral's name for it is "partial 16S ribosomal RNA". It matches the Rfam family "Bacterial small subunit ribosomal RNA", at positions 338 to 795 of the family's 1533-position model. The record is from RNAcentral.